UACGAAGGGGGCUAGCGUUGUUCGGAAUCACUGGGCGUAAAGGGCGCGUAGGCGGCCGUUCAAGUCGGGGGUGAAAGCCUGUGGCUCAACCACAGAAUUGCCUUCGAUACUGUUUGGCUUGAGACCGGAAGAGGUGAGUGGAACUGCGAGUGUAGAGGUGAAAUUCGUAGAUAUUCGCAAGAACACCAGUGGCGAAGGCGGCUGACUGGUCCGGUUCUGACGCUGAGGCGCGAAAGCGUGGGGAGCAAACAGG
RNAcentral lists this ribosomal RNA (253 nucleotides) under uncultured bacterium. RNAcentral's name for it is "partial 16S ribosomal RNA". It matches the Rfam family "Bacterial small subunit ribosomal RNA", at positions 524 to 776 of the family's 1533-position model. The record is from RNAcentral.